CCUACGGGUGGCAGCAGUGGGGGAUAGUGGACAAUGGGGGGAACCCUGAUCCAGCGACGCCGCGUGAGUGAAGAAGUAUGUCGGUAUGUAAAGCUCUGUCAGCAGGGAAGAAAGAAAUGACGGUACCGGACCAAGAAGCCCCGGCUAACUACGUGCCAGCAGCCGCGGUAAUACGUAGGGGGCAAGCGUUAUCCGGAAUUACUGGGUGUAAAGGGAGCGUAGACGGUUACGUAAGUCUGGAGUGAAAGGCCGGGGCUCAACCCCGGGACUGCUCUGGAAACUAUUUAACUUGAGUGCAGGAGAGGUCAGCGGAAUUCCUAGUGUAGCGGUGACAUGCGUAGAUAUUAGGCGGAACACCAGUGGCGACGGCGGCUUACUGGACUGUAACUGACGUUGAGGCUCGAACGCGUGGGGAGCAAACAGGAUUAGAUACCCUAGUAGUC
RNAcentral lists this ribosomal RNA (443 nucleotides) under uncultured bacterium. Its description in RNAcentral is "partial 16S ribosomal RNA". It matches the Rfam family "Bacterial small subunit ribosomal RNA", at positions 338 to 795 of the family's 1533-position model. The record is from RNAcentral.